Molecule: ribosomal RNA, 450 nt
Filed under: uncultured bacterium
Lineage: Bacteria
Description: bacterial SSU rRNA
Rfam family: Bacterial small subunit ribosomal RNA
Source: RNAcentral
UCCAGACUCCUACGGGAGGCAGCAGUGGGGAAUAUUGGGCAAUGGGCGCAAGCCUGACCCAGCAACGCCGCGUGAAGGAAGAAGGCUUUCGGGUUGUAAACUUCUUUUGACAGGGAAGAGUAGAAGACGGUACCUGUCGAAUAAGCCACGGCUAACUACGUGCCAGCAGCCGCGGUAAUACGUAGGUGGCAAGCGUUGUCCGGAUUUACUGGGUGUAAAGGGCGUGUAGCCGGGUUGACAAGUCAGAUGUGAAAUCCGGGGGCUCAACCCCCGAACUGCAUUUGAAACUGUUGGUCUUGGGUAUCGGAGAGGCAGGCGGAAUUCCUAGUGUAGCGGUGAAAUGCGUAGAUAUUAGGAGGAACACCAGUGGCGAAGGCGGCCUGCUGGACCGUGACUGACGUUGAGGCUCGAGAGCGUGGGGAGCAAACAGGAUUAGAUACCCCAGUACCA